Molecule: long non-coding RNA, 2759 nt
Filed under: Eucalyptus grandis
Lineage: Eukaryota; Viridiplantae; Streptophyta; Magnoliopsida; Myrtales; Myrtaceae
Description: long non-coding RNA (EGRA_LNC001954)
Source: RNAcentral
GAAAAAAGGUCAAGAGAGGUUUAGCCUCUGCGAAAGGGAAAAACUGCAGAAAAAAAGAAAAGUUAGAACGUGAGGGAGAGAGAGAAAGAGGAGAAAAGUAAAAAGCAAAGGUGAUUUGACCCUCACUAUUCAUCAUCUCCCCAAGCUCGCUGCUCACCCUCUGUUCCGCUCCGCGAAGCCCGACGUCCUCCUCCACCUCGCUGUUCCGUUCGCCGCCGGUCUCGCCGCUCCGUCCGCUCCUCGACGCCUGCGCUUGAGAUCUGCUCGCGACCCAGCACUCGGCGUUCCCUGCUCCUGUCGUGACCGGCGCUAGCUGAGCCUCCCCCGCCACACGUCGCCCGCCGCGCCCACCGUCGGUCCCUGCUUGCGUCUCCACCUCGGCAUCCCCGUAGCCGAAGUCUCCCCCACGGCAACCUAGGUGCCGAUCGCUCCUGACCCGAUUUCGUUUUCAGCCGAGAUCCGACGAAACCGGAGCCCCCCUGCUCCGCUUGCGUUUAUUCUGCCCGAGCGCCCGCUGACGCUGCUGCCGAACCGCGCCGAGACCCGACGCUUAGCCGCCGCCGUGCCGCUGUUCCUGCCGCGACCCAACGCCGCCAGAGCCCACAUCGCUGUUGCUCGCAUCUCCUCGGUGCCCGACAGCAGGCCCCGCAACCCGCGACGCCAGCCCAGCCAUCUGGGACUCCCCUUGCCGACACCGCUCGGAUCCAAACCCCCGCACAGCACCCGCUGUUCGCAAUUGGCAGUGACCCGCGAGUCCCCUUUCCGAACUCCGCCACCUGCUGCCUCCGGAGUUUCUUCCCUGCCAGACCUCUGAUCUGCUGCCCCUCACCGGAGCCGGUGACCAGCCGCACGGACACGAAGUUUGAACGGGAUAAAGGAAAAUAUCAUUUAGGUAAUUCCUUUUUUAUUUACUUUAUUUAUAUAUUUAUUUUUUUGUUAUUCUCACUUAUUUACUUUUUUCCUUUAGUAGGAUUAUUCCUAAAUAUGUUCCAACAUGAAAGUCCCCCUCAAGCAAGGGAUUGAUAGUCCGAUUUUCGCGCCCGAAAUCCGACUCGCAAUCCCUUAUAAAAAUCGACAAUCUAAUCUCAAGCCCGAGAUUCGAUUCGCGAUUUAAUUUAAAAUUGGUCAACCCGAUCUCAUGCGCGAGAUAUGGUUCGCUAAUUUUUAGAUAUCAAUCUUAUCUUGUUUGAUUUGCUAUGGUCAAGUUGGUUGAGUCAAAUCUUAUUUUUGUAAAAUAAAAAUCAAAAAAAUCUUAAUUAGGAUUAAGUUUGCAUAUUUAGGAUUGCAAUCUUAUUAUGAAUUUUUAAAUAAAAAAUCCGAAAAAAGAAAGUGCAAUCAUUUAGGUUGUUAGUUUUUUAUUUGAAUUGCAUGUUUAAUUACGUGUUAGCUUUAAUUUCGAAAUUAAUAAAAAACACCAUAAAAAAUCAUUGUGCAUAUUAGAUUAGAAUUGCAUGCUUCAUUUUAAAUUUAGAUCGUUUUUUUAGAUAAAUGGCAUUUUAGAUUUAGAUAAUGUUUUAGUUUAAAUUAGGAUUUAAUAUGACUUAAUCCCUAGUUUAAAUUAGAUAGAAUCUUAAUCUAGCUAUAGAUCAUUUGAAAUUUAAUAAAAUUUGUCUUAGGAUAAAUUAGAGCAUUCUUUGCACGUCAUUGCAUACUAAGAUUGCAUAUUAUAGGUUUAGAUAAUUUCUCCUAAAUAGAUUGCAUGCUUAUUAGGAAAAUAAAAAUCAUGUGCACGUCAUAUAGAAUUAGUUUCAUACAAUGCACGUCAUUUAGUGAUUUUGUUAGGUGCAUUUAAUUAGAAAUUGCCCGUCAUUAGAAUUAAGUCAUUAGAUUAAUUUAGAUUGCAUAUUCAAAUGUUGCAUUUCUUUAAUUUCGAAUCUCAUAAAAAAUACAAAAAAUGUUAUUUAGAAUAAAUCAUCUCAUGCUUAGAAUAGAUUACAUGUUUGGUUAUGUCAUAUUGCUUAGGUCAUAUAGCUAAGUCAUUUUGCUAUGUCACAUCAUUUCAUGUUAAAUUAGUGGCAUGCAUUGCAUAAAGCAUGAUUCUCAUUAAUUAAGUGAAAACAAAACAAAAAUUGCGUGUUAAUUAGAAACCAUAUCUAGGGUUGUUGAUGUGGAUUUUAAUUUAACAUUGCAGAUGCUUACGUUGCUUUGAGGUAAGUCCUGCAAUUUAUUUUCUGCUUUACUUGAGUGUUAAAUUGGUGGUUUGCGCACCUGCAUGAACACCUCACAUGUUAGGGAAUUAGUUUAAAAUCAAUCCAAACUUCUUGCCAAACAUUUUUUCAAAAUUAAAAGAAUGGUACCGAAAGGGCAUUAGAGAAAUCUAGUGUAACCAAGUCCCCGUACCCAUAAUCUCUGGUUCGUAGGAGUAAAGUAAUUCUCCCAUUAUUUUACUUAGGUGCCUAAUCGACCUACCAAAAAUAGAUUAGUGGCGACUCCUAAUUGUAAAUCAAUUGCAUGUUAUAAACUUAAACCUAAGUCGCGAAUUGGUAUGGGCUUGGGAGAUCCCAAGUUAAGUCUAGGCUUAACAAUCCAUUAGCCAAACCCUAGGUGGUUCACACUUGAAAAAAAUUGGUCGCGACAGCUUGGCGACUCCGCUGGGGACCUAGUGGACUUAGGCCAAUUUUUCUUUUUAAAAAUAUUUUUGUUUGGCAGCAAGGAUCCCAGGUAUGUCCCUAACAUUCCUAAGGUGUUAAAUGUUUUUGCAGAUUGGGAGGUAUAAGGGGAAGUGAUUGCUAACCCUUGCCUUGCAGGUUGGAGUUAGG